AGAGUUUGAUCAUGGCUCAGGAUGAACGCUGGCGGCGUGCCUAACACAUGCAAGUCGAGCGUGAACCCUUAGAAUGAAACUUCGGUCGAAUGAAGAGGGGGAAAGCGGCGGACGGGUGAGUAACGCGUAGGCAACCUGCCCCGUACAGAGGGAUAGCCUCGGGAAACCGGGAUUAAAACCUCAUAAUACCAUGGUAUCACAUGAUGCAAUGGUCAAAGAUUUAUCGGUAUGGGAUGGGCCUGCGUCUGAUUAGCUGGUUGGUGGGGUAACGGCCUACCAAGGCAACGAUCAGUAGCCGACCUGAGAGGGUAAUCGGCCACAUUGGAACUGAGACACGGUCCAAACUCCUACGGGAGGCAGCAGUGGGGAAUAUUGCACAAUGGGCGAAAGCCUGAUGCAGCAACGCCGCGUGAGCGAAGAAGGCCUUUGGGUCGUAAAGCUCUGUCGGGAAGGAAGAUAAUGACGGUACUUCCCGAGGAAGCCCCGGCUAACUACGUGCCAGCAGCCGCGGUAAUACGUAGGGGGCGAGCGUUAUCCGGAAUUAUUGGGCGUAAAGAGUGCGUAGGUGGUUGUUUAAGCGUGGGGUGAAAGGCAAUGGCUUAACCAU
This 607-nucleotide ribosomal RNA is filed under the name uncultured bacterium. Its description in RNAcentral is "bacterial SSU rRNA". It matches the Rfam family "Bacterial small subunit ribosomal RNA", at positions 8 to 616 of the family's 1533-position model. The record is from RNAcentral.